This 497-nucleotide ribosomal RNA is filed under the name uncultured bacterium. RNAcentral describes it as "partial 16S ribosomal RNA". It matches the Rfam family "Bacterial small subunit ribosomal RNA", at positions 28 to 507 of the family's 1533-position model. The record is from RNAcentral.
GAUGAACGCUGGCGGCGUGCCUAAUACAUGCAAGUCGAGCGAACGGACGAGAAGCUUGCUUUUCUGAUGUUAGCGGCGGACGGGUGAGUAACACGUGGAUCACCUACCUAUAAGACUGGGAUAACUUCGGGAAACCGGAGCUAAUACCGGAUAAUAUUUUGAACCGCAUGGUGCAAGAGUGAAAGGCGGUUUUCCUGUCACAUAUAGAUGGUUCCGCGCUGCAUUAGCUAGUUGGUAAGGUAACGGCUUACCAAGGCAACGAUGCAUAGCCGAUCUGAGAGGGUGAUCGGCCACACUGGAACUGAGACACGGUCCAGACUCCUACGGGAGGCAGCAGUAGGGAAUCUUCCGCAAUGGGCGAAAGCCUGACGGAGCAACGCCGCGUGAGUGAUGAAGGUCUUCGGAUCGUAAAACUCUGUUAUUAGGGAAGAACAUAUGUGUAAGUAACUGUGCACAUCUUGACGGUACCUAAUGAGAAAGCCACGGCUAACUACGUG